CAGCGGCUUCUCCAAGUCUCUUUCAGCCCUAUCUUGAAGAUGCCGGGGAAGGAACUUGGGACCUUCUGCAUGCAAGCACGCAGGUGCUCUUCCCAGAGCAGCCCCAUCCCCUUUGGAUGCAGUGUUCACAUUUGGUCCCAUUCAGUUCAGUGGCACUUCUGAGUAAAGAGAGGAUUUCACUCAACCCUGGACAGCAGAUUCUGAAAAAGUGAUCUUCUGCAAAUGGAAAUUGUUCAUCCAAACUUGUUGGAAUUCAUCAUUCUGCAAAAUAAAUAUGCCAACAUAAUAUAACCCUGAAGUACAUUUACUGCUAAAUGGAAGUUCUAGCAUGACAAGAGAACUGUUGAAAAACUGCGAGAACUAGCUGAACCCGCACAGAGCAUCUAUGAGGGUCAGGGUGCCUUGCUUGGUUACUUUGUUUCCAACAUGUCCCCUGUGUCAUGCCCUUGAGCUCCGACAGCGAGGAGGAAGGGGAGGCUGCCAGCUUUCCGGCUGAGUCAGGAGUAUCUGAGGGGCAGAGCCCGACUGUCAGCGUUCCUGAGACAGCUGUGAUAGAUCCAGCUGAUGGUUUAGAACAGGCACAGCAGCCUGAGUCAGCAGAAAGUGUGAGAGACCAAUCGGAGGGAGAACUAGGCAUUGAAACACCGUUGACACCACAACAACGCAGGUGUUCAAAACGCAGGACGCAAUUAGAAGCUGUUAGGAGGAGCAAACGUCUAUCGCUGAGGGCUGACAAGCCGUAAAUUCCUACCAGCUGGGAGCUCUUGGCUUGCUCCAUAAAUUACAGCACCAGACUCCUACUCAUUGCUGAGAUUCAACGCACGUCAUUGAACGCAGCCAAGUCGUGAACGUCCCUGGCUGUGGGCCAGACCUUGACACCCUGCACCAGGACUCUCAGGUGUUUCCUUGAAUAGGCAAUGGGCUUUCCAAGUCUAGAGAGCAUAUUUAUCCCUACCUCUACCUAAGCCCCCACGUCACUCUUCAUUUGAGAAGCCCUGGUCCUUUUAGUACUCCUCUAGUCCCCAAGCCUCCAGCUAACCCUCUCUCAACCUUCUUAACUGCCAACCAACUAUCAACUAACUACUAACUGGGCCCCGCUCUCUCUCCCCAGCCUGAGGGUGGGGAGAAAGCAGCGGCAGCAGUGGGGAAGAAAACAGGGGGAGUGCCGAAAGGGAGGGGGAAGAACUAGAGGUGCAGAUGCUCUGCACCCGGGCCAGACAGCUAUCUUAUAUUUUACAUCUUUCUAUAACCAAAAAAAUUAAAACAUAUAUAAAUAACAUCCUUAACAACCAGUAUUGGACAAUACAAAAUGUCACCAGGUUGUUAUUCACACAUGGCUUCAUGCUGCGGGGUAAAUGUUGAGCAAAGCCACAUCAAAUCACACUUGUGGCAUUGAGGAAAGCAGCCCCUCCCCUCUGCUCUUGGUUUUGUUUUUUUUACAAGUUCACAUGGCAUGCCUCUGUGUUUUCCUUCAAGCCAAUGGGGGGUGCAUUUCAAACAUUUCAAACAUCUGCAUUUCAAAUGCAGUAUCUCUCUUAUGUUAAUGAUUCUAUGUCAGUACCUCUCCCUAUUUGCUGCAGAGUUUUCAGAAAAAGUAACUUAAAAAACAGUAUUUUAAAAAUGUGGAAAUACCUCGACAUGAGCUAGAAUUCACAAGAGAAAGCCUGACUUGUGUGUGGAGUGGGUCUAAAGAUCUUGAAGGGACUUCAGGGUAAAUUUGGGUAGUGUGUGAACUCACACUCUCUCCCCUGAAGGAGAUUCAGGGUAGAAACCCUGUCUGUAAAGCCUCCAGGACAACUGCCAUUUUAAGACUGAAUGGUACCACAACCUCUGCUAACGAUCUGUUAACUUUCCUCGCAGCAACAUGGUCCCACCACCAGGCAGCUAAAAUCAGCCAGAAGGGCAAAGGUCAAAUAAGAAUAUGGACAAAUUCAGUGAUCCAAGGAUCCUAUCCAGACUGAACAUGCUGAAAAGAUGCACAGUUAACUUACUGUUUUUCUUCUGAGAGAGAGCUUGGGUUCUCUUUUUAAGAACUGAUGCAUAAGAAACUGACCAACAUGUGGACAUUGUGCAUUCUAAGCCACCUACACUGUAUACAAGUGAGAAUUUUUUUUUUUAGCUCAACAAAACAUAUUUGUGAAUUUGUGUUGAUAAACAAAUAUGGAUUAUUCAACUAUUAUCCAACUAUUCAAAGACUCUACAGUAUUAAUUUACAUUAUGUAACACUAGGAAUCUGCAAGUCUAAACUACACAAAAUCGCUUACAAACAUAACAUGAUUAAAGUGUUAUCCACAGCCACAA
This is a long non-coding RNA of Hemicordylus capensis (graceful crag lizard), 2301 nucleotides long. RefSeq lists it as uncharacterized. The record is from RefSeq and is a predicted model, not a curated record. Lineage: Eukaryota; Metazoa; Chordata; Lepidosauria; Squamata; Cordylidae. The transcript is spliced from 4 exons.